CGUACUGGAAACGGUAGCUAAUACCGCAUAACGUCGCAAGACCAAAGAGGGGGACCUUCGGGCCUCUUGCCAUCAGAUGUGCCCGGAUGGGAUUAGCUUGUUGGUGGGGUAACGGCUCACCAAGGCGACGAUCCCUAGCUGGUCUGAGAGGAUGACCAGCCACACUGGAACUGAGACACGGUCCAG
This 186-nucleotide ribosomal RNA is filed under the name uncultured Enterobacterales bacterium. Its description in RNAcentral is "partial 16S ribosomal RNA". It matches the Rfam family "Bacterial small subunit ribosomal RNA", at positions 146 to 334 of the family's 1533-position model. Lineage: Bacteria; Pseudomonadati; Pseudomonadota; Gammaproteobacteria; Enterobacterales. The record is from RNAcentral.